UUUUAUGGAGAGUUUGAUCCUGGCUCAGGAUGAACGCUGGCGGCGUGCCUAAUACAUGCAAGUCGAGCGAACGGACGAGAAGCUUGCUUCUCUGAUGUUAGCGGCGGACGGGUGAGUAACACGUGGAUAACCUACCUAUAAGACUGGGAUAACUUCGGGAAACCGGAGCUAAUACCGGAUAAUAUUUUGAACCGCAUGGUUCAAAAGUAAAAGACGGUCUUGCUGUCACUUAUAGAUGGAUCCGCGCUGCAUUAGCUAGUUGGUAAGGUAACGGCUUACCAAGGCAACGAUGCAUAGCCGACCUGAGAGGGUGAUCGGCCACACUGG
This 327-nucleotide ribosomal RNA is filed under the name Staphylococcus aureus. Its description in RNAcentral is "bacterial SSU rRNA". It matches the Rfam family "Bacterial small subunit ribosomal RNA", at positions 1 to 316 of the family's 1533-position model. The record is from RNAcentral. Lineage: Bacteria; Bacillati; Bacillota; Bacilli; Caryophanales; Staphylococcaceae.